This 408-nucleotide ribosomal RNA is filed under the name uncultured bacterium. Its description in RNAcentral is "partial 16S ribosomal RNA". It matches the Rfam family "Bacterial small subunit ribosomal RNA", at positions 28 to 526 of the family's 1533-position model. The record is from RNAcentral.
GACGAACGCUGGCGGCGUGCUUAACACAUGCAAGUCGAACGAAGUGGCGGACGGGUGAGUAACGCGUAAACAACCUGCCCAUCAACGGGGGACAACAGUUGGAAACGACUGCUCAUACCGCAUACUGAAGGAGGGGAUUGCGUCUGAUUAGCUAGUUGGGGGGGGAACGGCCAACCAAGGCGAUGAUCAGUAGCCGGGCUGAGAGGGGGAACGGCCACAUUGGGACUGGGGCACGGCCCAGACUCCUACGGGAGGCAGCAGGGGGGAAUCUUCCGCAAUGGACGAAAGUCUGACGGAGCAACGCCGCGGGAGUGAUGACGGCCUUCGGGUUGGAAAGCUCUUUUAAUCGGGACGCGGUACCGGAAUAGAAAGCCACGGCUAACUACGUGCCAGCAGCCGCGGUAAUAC